GACGAACGCUGGCGGCGUGCUUAACACAUGCAAGUCGAACGGAAAGGCCCUGCUUUUGUGGGGUGCUCGAGUGGCGAACGGGUGAGUAACACGUGAGUAACCUGCCCUUGACUUUGGGAUAACUUCAGGAAACUGGGGCUAAUACCGGAUAGGAGCUCCUGCUGCAUGGUGGGGGUUGGAAAGUUUCGGCGGUUGGGGAUGGACUCGCGGCUUAUCAGCUUGUUGGUGGGGUAGUGGCUUACCAAGGCUUUGACGGGUAGCCGGCCUGAGAGGGUGGACGGACAAGAGGGGAAAGAGGAGAAGACCGGAAGGACACGGGGGGGAGCAGGGGGGAAAAUGGGACGAGGGGCGGACGGAUGAAGCAGGUAAGGAGGGGGGGAGGGGAAGGGAGUCGGGUUUAAACACGCGUGCGACUGUGACGAAGAGGGAGUGACGGUAAGGGAUAAAGAAGAACCGGAUAGCUACGUG
This 468-nucleotide ribosomal RNA is filed under the name uncultured bacterium. RNAcentral describes it as "partial 16S ribosomal RNA". The stretch from base 20 to 332 matches the Rfam family "Bacterial small subunit ribosomal RNA", at positions 47 to 358 of the family's 1533-position model. The record is from RNAcentral.